Molecule: non-coding RNA, 552 nt
Organism: Arachis ipaensis
Lineage: Eukaryota; Viridiplantae; Streptophyta; Magnoliopsida; Fabales; Fabaceae
Source: RefSeq, a predicted model, not a curated record
AACCCACUCCUUAUUGAGCGAAAGUGAGCCCUAACCCUACGCCUCCCACCCUCAAUCCAAAGCUCUCAGUCUCAGCCUCUCACCGUCGCGCUCUCCUCUCUGUAGUGGUGUACGACCCUCGCACCACAGUCUGAACGACCCUCGCACACAGCGCACGACCCUCGUCCCUCGCAGGCUCGCACCCAACGCCAGCAGUAGCAGAGCACGAGCCUCCUUCCUUGCACCCAGUAGUAGCAGAGCCCGACCCUCGCAACCUCGCACCCAGCAGUAGCAGAGCCACAACCCUCGCCAGUCGCCACCCACAACACAGCAAACACCAGUCACCGAUUCAAGUCUCCCACCCAGCCACCGAUUCAAGUCAGAUAUGGAGCCCGAGCCACCGAGUCAGGUAGGUUUGCUUAAAGAAGUUUCAUUAUUUUGUUGGAGAGGACACCAAGACGUGGCUAUCUGUUGCUGGAAAUUUGUUUUUAUUUUUUGUUGUGUUGACUAUUGAACCUUUAAACUUCUUUAAUUAUCGUAUUUUAAUUUCUUUUGUUGUCGAAUUUUAUUGAA